UGACGAGUGGCGGACGGGUGAGUAAUGUCUGGGAAACUGCCUGAUGGAGGGGGAUAACUACUGGAAACGGUAGCUAAUACCGCAUAACGUCGCAAGACCAAAGAGGGGGACCUUCGGGCCUCUUGCCAUCAGAUGUGCCCAGAUGGGAUUAGCUAGUAGGUGGGGUAACGGCUCACCUAGGCGACGAUCCCUAGCUGGUCUGAGAGGAUGACCAGCCACACUGGAACUGAGACACGGUCCAGACUCCUACGGGAGGCAGCAGUGGGGAAUAUUGCACAAUGGGCGCAAGCCUGAUGCAGCCAUGCCGCGUGUAUGAAGAAGGCCUUCGGGUUGUAAAGUACUUUCAGCGGGGAGGAAGGUGUUGUGGUUAAUAACCACAGCAAUUGACGUUACCCGCAGAAGAAGCACCGGCUAACUCCGUGCCAGCAGCCGCGGUAAUACGGAGGGUGCAAGCGUUAAUCGGAAUUACUGGGCGUAAAGCGCACGCAGGCGGUCUGUCAAGUCGGAUGUGAAAUCCCCGGGCUCAACCUGGGAACUGCAUUCGAAACUGGCAGGCUGGAGUCUCGUAGAGGGAGGUAGAAUUCCAGGUGUAGCGGUGAAAUGCGUAGAGAUCUGGAGGAAUACCGGUGGCGAAGGCGGCCUCCUGGAC
This 649-nucleotide ribosomal RNA is filed under the name Enterobacter cloacae. Its description in RNAcentral is "bacterial SSU rRNA". It matches the Rfam family "Bacterial small subunit ribosomal RNA", at positions 89 to 734 of the family's 1533-position model. RNAcentral also lists the same sequence under 1 other name. The record is from RNAcentral. Lineage: Bacteria; Pseudomonadati; Pseudomonadota; Gammaproteobacteria; Enterobacterales; Enterobacteriaceae.